CUUGGGAGGAGAGGGUGCCCCCUCAGCCCAGAUUGUGAGAGGACACAGGCCAAGCUGAGGGAUCCCACCAGUGCACA
Molecule: microRNA precursor, 77 nt
Filed under: Myotis davidii
Lineage: Eukaryota; Metazoa; Chordata; Mammalia; Chiroptera; Vespertilionidae
Description: mir-9193 microRNA precursor family
Rfam family: mir-9193 microRNA precursor family
Source: Rfam by way of RNAcentral